This 607-nucleotide ribosomal RNA is filed under the name uncultured bacterium. Its description in RNAcentral is "bacterial SSU rRNA". It matches the Rfam family "Bacterial small subunit ribosomal RNA", at positions 9 to 627 of the family's 1533-position model. The record is from RNAcentral.
GAGUUUGAUCCUGGCUCAGGAUGAACGCUGGCGGCGUGCUUAACACAUGCAAGUCGAACGGACUCAUAUUGAAACCUAGUGAUGUAUGAGUUAGUGGCGGACGGGUGAGUAACGCGUGGAAAACCUGCCGUAUACUGGGGGAUAACACUUAGAAAUAGGUGCUAAUACCGCAUAAGCGCACAGCUUCGCAUGAAGCAGUGUGAAAAACUCCGGUGGUAUACGAUGGUUCCGCGUCUGAUUAGCUAGUUGGCGGGGUAACGGCCCACCAAGGCGACGAUCAGUAGCCGGCCUGAGAGGGUGAACGGCCACAUUGGGACUGAGACACGGCCCAAACUCCUACGGGAGGCAGCAGUGGGGAAUAUUGCACAAUGGGGGAAACCCUGAUGCAGCGACGCCGCGUGAGUGAAGAAGUAUCUCGGUACGUAAAGCUCUAUCAGCAGGAAAGAAAAUGACGGUACCUGACUAAGAAGCCCCGGCUAACUACGUGCCAGCAGCCGCGGUAAUACGUAGGGGGCAAGCGUUAUCCGGAUUUACUGGGUGUAAAGGGAGCGUAGACGGCAGUGCAAGUCUGGAGUGAAAUGCCGGGGCUCAACCCCGGAACUGCUUU